Molecule: long non-coding RNA, 532 nt
Filed under: Glycine max (soybean)
Lineage: Eukaryota; Viridiplantae; Streptophyta; Magnoliopsida; Fabales; Fabaceae
Description: long non-coding RNA (GMAX_LNC003737)
Source: RNAcentral
AACAACUUCUCUUGAUUUCUUAGAUAUUUCAAAUUGUGGUUUCCAAGGGUCAAUCCCUCCCUCUUUCUCCAACCUCAUACAUCUCACUUCCCUGGACCUUUCAGAUAACAACCUCAACGGUUCAAUCCCUCCCUCUUUCUUUAACCUCACACAUCUUACUUCCUUGGAUCUCUCAGAUAACAACCUCAACCUCAACGGUUCAAUCCCUCCCUCUUUCUCCAACCUCAUACAUCUCACUUCCCUGGACCUUUCAGGUAACAAUCUCGGUUCAAUCCCUCCCUCUUUCUUUAACCUCACACAUCUCACUUCCCUGGAUCUCUCAUUUAACAACCUCAACGGUUCAAUCCCUCCCUCUUUCUCCAACCUCAUACAUCUCACUUCCCUGGACCUCUCAGGUAACCACCUCAACGGUUCAAUCCCUCCCUCUUUCUCCAACCUCAUACAUCUUACUUCCUUGGAUCUCUCAUAUAACAACCUCAACGGUUCAAUCCCAUCCUCACUCUUGACCCUUCCACGGCUAAACUUUCUGUAU